This 430-nucleotide ribosomal RNA is filed under the name uncultured bacterium. Its description in RNAcentral is "bacterial SSU rRNA". It matches the Rfam family "Bacterial small subunit ribosomal RNA", at positions 32 to 507 of the family's 1533-position model. The record is from RNAcentral.
GACGCUGGCGGCAUGCCUAACACAUGCAAGUCGAACGAGACCUUCGGGUCUAGUGGCGCACGGGUGCGUAACGCGUGGGAACCUGCCUUUAGGUUCGGAAUAACUCAGAGAAAUUUGAGCUAAUACCGGAUAAUGUCUUCGGACCAAAGAUUUAUCGCCUUUAGAUGGGCCCGCGUUGGAUUAGCUAGUUGGUGGGGUAAAGGCCUACCAAGGCGACGAUCCAUAGCUGGUCUGAGAGGAUGAUCAGCCACACUGGGACUGAGACACGGCCCAGACUCCUACGGGAGGCAGCAGUGGGGGAAUAUUGGACAAUGGGCGAAAGCCUGAUCCAGCAAUGCCGCGUGAGUGAUGAAGGCCUUCGGGUUGUAAAGCUCUUUUACUCGGGACGAUAAUGACGGUACCGAGAGAAUAAGCCCCGGCUAACUCCGUG